Molecule: ribosomal RNA, 402 nt
Filed under: uncultured bacterium
Lineage: Bacteria
Description: bacterial SSU rRNA
Rfam family: Bacterial small subunit ribosomal RNA
Source: RNAcentral
UAGGGAAUAUUGCACAAUGGGGGAAACCCUGAUGCAGCGACGCCGCGUGAGCGAAGAAGUAUCUCGGUAUGUAAAGCUCUAUCAGCAGGGAAGAAGAUGACGGUACCUGACUAAGAAGCACCGGCUAAAUACGUGCCAGCAGCCGCGGUAAUACGUAUGGUGCAAGCGUUAUCCGGAUUUACUGGGUGUAAAGGGAGCGUAGACGGAAGAGCAAGUCUGGAGUGAAAGCCCGGGGCUCAACCCCGGGACUGCUUUGGAAACUGUUUAUCUAGAGUGCUGGAGAGGCAAGCGGAAUUCCUAGUGUAGCGGUGAAAUGCGUAGAUAUUAGGAGGAACACCAGUGGCGAAGGCGGCUUGCUGGACGGUAACUGACGUUGAGGCUCGAAAGCGUGGGGAGCAAACA